This 230-nucleotide ribosomal RNA is filed under the name uncultured bacterium. Its description in RNAcentral is "partial 16S ribosomal RNA". It matches the Rfam family "Bacterial small subunit ribosomal RNA", at positions 562 to 791 of the family's 1533-position model. The record is from RNAcentral.
AAAGCGUGCGCAGGCGGUUAUAUAAGACAGAUGUGAAAUCCCCGGGCUCAACCUGGGAACUGCAUUUGUGACUGUAUAGCUGGAGUGCGGCAGAGGGGGAUGGAAUUCCGCGUGUAGCAGUGAAAUGCGUAGAUAUGCGGAGGAACACCGAUGGCGAAGGCAAUCCCCUGGGCCUGCACUGACGCUCAUGCACGAAAGCGUGGGGAGCAAACAGGAUUAGAUACCCCUGU